AUUGCAAUUACUUGAGAUUCAAGUAAACCACAAAGGAUAUCACGUGUGGGGCAGGGAUCUAAAUGUAAAUAAUAAAAAAAAAAUGAGGGAUAGAAGGAAUUAAUAGAUAAAAGAGGGGUACUGUGGAAAAAUCAGAAAAUUAAAUAAAAGGAGACUCAAUGGAUGGGUAAAUUUGAAAAUUACAAGUAAAUGUGGAAGAAAAGAAAUAAUAAAAGGUAGGGGUAGUUUUGGAAAUUCAGGGUUAAAGCUAAAGGGGACGGUUAUCUCACGGAUUGGGGUGAAAGAUGUUGAAGACCUGGAGUUGUCUUCUACAGGCAACGGAAUAGGGUCGACUUCGAAGGAGGCGGCUGGAGCUGGAGUUCAAACCAGAAAGAGGAGGCGGUGGCUGCUGUCGGAAGGGAAAAGAAGUGAAAAGAGGAGGCGGUGGGAUUUUCUGGUUGGGGAAUCGAAGUGAGGAGAAAAGAAAGGGAGGCGAGACACUUCAGGGGUCCGAC
Molecule: long non-coding RNA, 494 nt
Organism: Macadamia integrifolia
Lineage: Eukaryota; Viridiplantae; Streptophyta; Magnoliopsida; Proteales; Proteaceae
Exons: 2
Source: RefSeq, a predicted model, not a curated record